GAAGGUCUCUCUUAUACUUUUUCGUUAACUUGAAUAUUAUUGCAUCCCUUACACUUCCUAAUAUCAUGAUUAUUGAUAUACAUCAUGUUAUCCUUCUUCAUAUUCAUGCGUUUUUGCACCUUAUUGCUCUUCUGGUGAAUCUAAGAUGAGCUUUUAUUAUUGAUAUUCAAAUGUAAGUUGACCAUAAUGUUAGCACAUAU
RNAcentral lists this long non-coding RNA (200 nucleotides) under Lathyrus oleraceus (garden pea). Its description in RNAcentral is "Pisum sativum (pea) long non-coding RNA (PSAT_LNC033936)". Lineage: Eukaryota; Viridiplantae; Streptophyta; Magnoliopsida; Fabales; Fabaceae. The record is from RNAcentral.